CAUCUGGGCCAUAGUGCCAUAUACACCAUGUGCCGUAUCAUGGAGGAGAGGGCGUAUAUGGAGGAUUCUCCAUUGCUGAGAGGAGCAGUGUUCUCGUAGGAUGGCUCUAUGGGGGGCGCACCGUCUCCCAGCCUUAAAGAACACCCCUACCCUGGUCCUCCCAUCAUUCUAUAAGGUAGGAUCCAGAGAGCAUUUUAAAGGUGCAUUAGAGAAGUUUUUACUUUGACCUCUGACCAACCCCUGACCUUUAACCCCCAGGCGAUGUGGUGUGCCAACGAGAUGGUGUCGUAUGAGAUCGUUCUGUCCAUCACAGACUGAUAAAGAAGUAUGGCAAGGAACUCCAGGUGGUCACAUGGGACAUACUGCUGGGGAUCAUAGAGAGGUUACUACAGCAGAUUCAGUCGAUAGGCAGUGCAGAGCUGAAGUCCAUAGUGUUUGAGUUGCUGACUACAGUGGAGGAGCUCUAUGAGCAGAACGGCUUCCACA
RNAcentral lists this long non-coding RNA (486 nucleotides) under Oncorhynchus mykiss (rainbow trout). RNAcentral describes it as "lncRNA (ENSOMYG00000071126.1)". The record is from RNAcentral. Lineage: Eukaryota; Metazoa; Chordata; Actinopteri; Salmoniformes; Salmonidae.